Molecule: transfer RNA, 77 nt
Filed under: Actinomadura rugatobispora
Lineage: Bacteria; Bacillati; Actinomycetota; Actinomycetes; Streptosporangiales; Thermomonosporaceae
Also listed under: 2 other names
Description: tRNA-Thr
Rfam family: tRNA
About the family: Transfer RNA (tRNA) molecules are approximately 80 nucleotides in length. Their secondary structure includes four short double-helical elements and three loops (D, anti-codon, and T loops).
Source: RNAcentral
GCCCCUGUAGCUCAGCUGGCCAGAGCAGCCGCCUUGUAAGCGGCAGGUCGCCGGUUCGAACCCGGCCGGGGGCUCCA